This 73-nucleotide transfer RNA is filed under the name Candidatus Daviesbacteria bacterium. RNAcentral's name for it is "tRNA-Arg". It matches the Rfam family "tRNA". From Rfam's summary of the family: Transfer RNA (tRNA) molecules are approximately 80 nucleotides in length. Their secondary structure includes four short double-helical elements and three loops (D, anti-codon, and T loops). Lineage: Bacteria; Candidatus Daviesiibacteriota. The record is from RNAcentral.
GCCCUCAUAGCUCAGUGGAUAGAGCAGGUCGGUUCUAACGACAAGGUCGGGGGUUCGAAUCCCUCUGAGGGCG